GAUGAACGCUGGCGGCGUGCCUAAUACAUGCAAGUCGAGCGAACGGACGAGAAGCUUGCUUCUCUGAUGUUAGCGGCGGACGGGUGAGUAACACGUGGAUAACCUACCUAUAAGACUGGGAUAACUUCGGGAAACCGUGGCUAAUACCGGAUAAUAUUUUGAACCGCAUGGUUCAAAAGUGAAAGACGGUCUUGCUGUCACUUAUAGAUGGAUCCGCGCUGCAUUAGCUAGUUGGUAAGGUAACGGCUUACCAAGGCAACGAUGCAUAGCCGACCUGAGAGGGUGAUCGGCCACACUGGAACUGAGACACGGUCCAGACUCCUACGGGAGGCAGCAGUAGGGAAUCUUGCGCAAUGGGCGAAAGCCUGACGGAGCAACGCCGCGUGAGUGAUGAAGGUCUUCGGAUCGUAAAACUCUGUUAUUAGGGAAGAACAUAUGUGUAAGUAACUGUGCACAUCUUGACGGUACCUAAUCAGAAAGCCACGGCUAACUACGUG
RNAcentral lists this ribosomal RNA (497 nucleotides) under uncultured bacterium. RNAcentral's name for it is "partial 16S ribosomal RNA". It matches the Rfam family "Bacterial small subunit ribosomal RNA", at positions 28 to 507 of the family's 1533-position model. The record is from RNAcentral.